Molecule: ribosomal RNA, 304 nt
Filed under: uncultured bacterium
Lineage: Bacteria
Description: partial 16S ribosomal RNA
Rfam family: Bacterial small subunit ribosomal RNA
Source: RNAcentral
CAGCAGCAGCCGCGGGAACACGUAGGGUGCGAGCGUUAAUCGGAAUUACUGGGCGUAAAGCGUGCGCAGGCGGUUCGUUAAGACAGAUGUGAAAUCCCCGGGCUUAACCUGGGAACUGCAUUUGUGACUGGCGAGCUAGAGUAUGGCAGAGGGGGGUAGAAUUCCACGUGUAGCAGUGAAAUGCGUAGAGAUGUGGAGGAAUACCGAUGGCGAAGGCAGCCCCCUGGGCCAAUACUGACGCUCAUGCACGAAAGCGUGGGGAGCAAACAGGAUUAGAUACCCGGGUAGUCCCUGUCUCUUAUAC